UACAGAGGGUGCGAGCGUUAAUCGGAAUUACUGGGCGUAAAGGGUGCGUAGGUGGUUUGAUAAGUUAGGUGUGAAAGUCCCGGGCUUAACCUGGGGAUUGCGCCUGAUACUGUCAGACUAGAGUACUGUAGAGGAAAGUGGAAUUUCCGGUGUAGCGGUGAAAUGCGUAGAUAUCGGAAGGAACACCAGUGGCGAAGGCGACUUUCUGGACAGAUACUGACACUGAGGCACGAAAGCAUGGGGAGCAAACAGG
This 253-nucleotide ribosomal RNA is filed under the name uncultured bacterium. RNAcentral's name for it is "partial 16S ribosomal RNA". It matches the Rfam family "Bacterial small subunit ribosomal RNA", at positions 524 to 776 of the family's 1533-position model. The record is from RNAcentral.